CUUUUCUUUCCUCUUGCCUUUGCGGUGGGUAAGGGCAACGCCAGCCGCUGGCGACAGCGUCGAAACACCGCGCCACGCGAGCCCCCUUCCCCUUCCCCUUCCCACUCUUCCUCUACAUCCAUCUUCCACCUCCUGCGGCAGAGAUAGAGGGACGUAGCUGCGCCCUCCUCUGCUCCCCUGCGCUCGACGGCGCGUGCUUGGCGGCGCCCUCCCUGGCCCUCUUGUCAGCGUGCGCGAGCACAGUUGGUGAACGCGCCGCUGCCAACCGGCUCAGUGGGUUGCCCUUUGCCCCUUUCGGGGUAUGUUCUUCCCGACCCCUCGGCUUGCCGAUGCGUGUCGAGAUCAAGAGGAACGGCGCGGUACAGCAGCGGCGCUACUUUUUCGGCGAGCCCAAGGCCCUUCCCUGAAACUUUAGGCAUGUUUGCAAUUGGACAAAUGGUGUAUAACAAUGAUCAUCAUCUGUAAAUUGGACAAUCGGACAGCAUCAGCAGGAGGACAGCAACAUCAAUAUUUUCUCAUGCAUUACAGGUUUCCCAAUUGAUCAUUACACUGCAGUAAUUUCUUCUGAUGCCAAUUGUAAACAGACCAAAGAUAAGCAAGCAUGGCCAUGUCAGCAGAGGUGAUCGGUAGUAGCCAACAGUAGGAGCAGGGCGGGGACUCGAUCGGGCAGGCAGCAGCGGCAGCAGUAGCAGAGGUCUGCGUGGUCCUGAUGAAUGAAGCCAACAGUAAGAAAAGCCAACAGUCUUGACAGCAAAUAAGAAUGAAAAUUGUGAAUGACAGAUUAGUCUUGUCAUGAUUACACCUCAGGAGUAUCAGGUUUAAUUUGAUGACUUUUCCAAACUCCUCUUCCAAACUAUACUUAUAGAUCCAUCUAGGGCAAGGUGGCAAGAUUUCUCCAUGUGAUUUUGUGACAACAAUGUCCACAUGCUUUUAAUACUGGAAAAAAAGAGAUAUCUCAAUCCAAUGGGAAUAUGGUAUCACUUACUCUGUUGACAUGAAUUCCUUGUUGUGUGUGUGUGUUCCUUGUAAAACAUAGUGUGUGUGGCGAUGAUCUCACUCACUGGAUGGAUCCUUGUUUCCUUUCCUUGACACAAGCAAACCAAAUGAAAUGAAAACUUAUUUAUUUACAAUAAAAUCAAAACAAGGAAGCAAGGAAAGGUGAAGAUGGACUGCACUUUAGUUUCAUUUAUUGGAGAUUGUGUUCCUAAAUAAUCUCCAAAACUGAAGUUUCUCCACUAAAACUGAAAUUGAACUGCAGUUAUGUGAACAUACUCAGUACACCGGAAAACAUCAACAAUUUGUACAGAUUAUCUAGAUGCAAGAUGUAACAAUUUGGCUUUGUUGUUGUUGUUGUUGUUGUUGUUGUUGUUAUAUCUAGAUCAGUAAAUAAUGGUUCUUUUUAAGAUUAUAUUGGAGUAUUAAUUUGGAAUCAUUUGAGUUUAUUGUGUAUGUUUGUGUCAUGUUCAGGCUAGGUUACUCAUUUGAUAUUCAACACAGACAACUCUCUAGUUUAUCUUUUGUCACUCCAUUAGAGAGAACAUUUACUCCAAAUUUCUGAACUUUAAUGAUA
This 1570-nucleotide ribosomal RNA is filed under the name Triticum aestivum (bread wheat). Its description in RNAcentral is "partial small subunit ribosomal RNA". Lineage: Eukaryota; Viridiplantae; Streptophyta; Magnoliopsida; Poales; Poaceae. The record is from RNAcentral.